This 635-nucleotide non-coding RNA is filed under the name Pongo abelii (Sumatran orangutan). Lineage: Eukaryota; Metazoa; Chordata; Mammalia; Primates; Hominidae. The record is from RNAcentral.
AUAAAAGCGGGCAUCUGUGGAAAGCAGGUUUAGUUAUCGGAGGGGAACCAUUAAACGCCAGUUUAAGAGGCAGGCCGGGAGGACGGCUCGUGGAUGUUUAGACUGCCGGCCUUGGUGAUCUUGAACGCAUUACAACGGAAAAUGGAUCUCCACUUAAGGCGCAGAUCAUUCAUGGGGAAGUAAAACCGAAACCAGUCCUCUCCACCCCCUGCGGGUCUUCACUUUCCCAGUCUACAUCUGCCUGUGACUCCAGAAAGACAAACUGCAGAUUGGCCAAGAUGGGGAAAUUGAGGCACAGAAGCCAAGACAUGCGCUAAAGGUCAUGCGGGCUAUGAAUGGAGCUGGAAUGUGAAUGCAGGCCAUGUGACUCCAGAGCCCAUGUUCUUGAACCCUUAGAAAGACAGCAGCAACACACCUGGUGCAGCAGCUGCUUAGUUGGAGUGGCUGACAAGAGAUCCUGGCAAAUGGGUGUUUCUUCUCAGAAACUGAUUUUUCUCCAUGACUGCAGUUGAAUUACAGAGUUGUAGAGACAUCCAGGUUCUUGUUAGUGUGGACGAACUAUCCAUGAAGAUCUUAAAUGCAGGAGUCUAUGAGAACACCAAUUAAUCAAUUGUUAAAUAUUUGAGUAUCUGUUG